Molecule: ribosomal RNA, 253 nt
Filed under: uncultured bacterium
Lineage: Bacteria
Description: partial 16S ribosomal RNA
Rfam family: Bacterial small subunit ribosomal RNA
Source: RNAcentral
UACGUAGGUGGCAAGCGUUGUCCGGAUUUACUGGGCGUAAAGAGCGCGCAGGCGGUCGGAUUAGUCGCGUGUGAAAGCCCCCGGCUCAACUGGGGAGGGUCACGCGAUACUGUUCGACUCGAAGGCAGGAGAGGGAAGUGGAAUUCCCGGUGUAGUGGUGAAAUGCGUAGAUAUCGGGAGGAACACCAGUGGCGAAGGCGACUUCCUGGCCUGUUCUUGACGCUGAUGCGCGAAAGCCAGGGGAGCGAACGGG